RNAcentral lists this ribosomal RNA (253 nucleotides) under uncultured bacterium. RNAcentral describes it as "partial 16S ribosomal RNA". It matches the Rfam family "Bacterial small subunit ribosomal RNA", at positions 524 to 776 of the family's 1533-position model. The record is from RNAcentral.
UACAGAGGUCCCAAGCGUUGUUCGGAUUCACUGGGCGUAAAGGGUGCGUAGGUGGCGCGCUAAGUCAGGUGUGAAAUUUCGGAGCUUAACUCCGAAACUGCAUUUGAUACUGGCGUGCUUGAGGACUGGAGAGGAGACUGGAAUUCACGGUGUAGCAGUGAAAUGCGUAGAUAUCGUGAGGAAGACCAGUGGCGAAGGCGGGUCUCUGGACAGUUCCUGACACUGAGGCACGAAGGCCAGGGGAGCAAACGGG